RNAcentral lists this long non-coding RNA (1398 nucleotides) under Olea europaea subsp. europaea. The record is from RNAcentral. Lineage: Eukaryota; Viridiplantae; Streptophyta; Magnoliopsida; Lamiales; Oleaceae.
UUCGUUGUGUUUAGUGUGCUUUGCUAUGAAUAUUAUUAUAUGCUGAAGCUGUUGAUUUGAGUAGUAAGGCCUACCUAUGUGCAUUUGGAAUUUUGUAUAUAGAUGACUUGGCAUGAGUUAGAUUGUGCUAGAAAUCCAAAUUGACGCUUGUGAUCGUCUAAGGGUGGCUUGUCAAAUGCCGUGUAAGAAAAUUAUAUUCGUAGUAUCCUCUGGAACAAGUUCUUGACAUUUCUUCUUGUUUUUGAUCAGGCAGCAAUGAGUACGAGAUAUUUGGUUCCUAUUUGUUGCAAGAGCGAAUUCCUUUUCGACUAUGGUGAAUGUGAAGGGAUAAGCGAAGCUAUACUUUCUGUCAACAUUUUGGAGUUCUUUACUCAAGUCUUUAUAUUCAUAAUUUUGUUUGCAAAAGCCUAUACCCAUCGACUCUCAAGAGGUAGAAAUAAUACCAUUAGCUUAAGCAUUGGACUGAAUCUGUAACCAAGCAGCUGCAAGACCAAUCGAACUGUUCUUUCUAGAACAUCUUCAUAUAAGUCGAGGCAAUCCAAGUUACCCAAUGUUGAUUCGAUGUCUUCAACACAUUAUUAUAUCCACAAAACAAAUAACAUGAAAAGCAUUGACGACAUACUAGGUGCUUAAGAAGGAUAAUUCCAUCGAAUUUAGAUAAGUUGUGGAAGUAAAUUGUUAAAGGUGAUUGUUCUUGUCUAACAAUCAUUAAUAUCCUUAAUACAAUGUCAUUAAGUACCUUAGUACUCCUAUCUUCAAAUCUAUUCAAGAUUAUUUUGUAGUCUUCACUGAAGUCAUUCAACCAAACACAAGACUUCUUCAUUCUGGGAACAAAGAGGGGGCAGCUGCUUCUUCUUCUUCUUGUCUAUUGUUUUCUUUCUUUCUUUUUUUUUUUCCUUUUCCUUUCACCUUUAUUUCUAAGAUAUUUUGGGGAAGAUUGGAAUAUGGAGAUGGUGCAUUAGCUUGGAGAAGAUGACUCAUUGAUAUUGAAGGAUUUUUAACCAUUUAUCUCUUUAUCAAUAAGUUUUUCUUUUCACUUUUUCCAUCAAUAUUUUUUAAGAAAUUGUUAGUUAUUUGUAGAUAUUUUAUGGGUAACUAAUUAUAUUUUGUGAUUGAGGAUUAUUUCAAACUCGAGUUAUAUUUUCAAUUCAUUUGUGCUUUAUAAUUCUCUUGUUUAAUGUGUUUAAUCCAUUGUAUUAAAUGUUUAUUUUGUUCUUCUUGAUUGUUUAAGUGUACAACUAAAUGUUUAAGUUGUUUCGAUAAUGCUAUUUUGGGAUUAGUAGUACGUAAUAGCUAUUGAUUAUAAAACCUAUAGCAAUUACAUUUCUAUAGAUUAUGAAGAAUUUUCAAUUGAAUGUAUGUGGAUUAACACUUAAGUUUGUAAAUCGAGCUUGCGAG